RNAcentral lists this ribosomal RNA (456 nucleotides) under Solaropsis sp. 2 MS-2014. Its description in RNAcentral is "partial 16S ribosomal RNA". The record is from RNAcentral. Lineage: Eukaryota; Metazoa; Mollusca; Gastropoda; Stylommatophora; Solaropsidae.
AGCUUAUUGUAUUCUAUAUUAAGUGAAUUCUGCUCAAUGAAUUUUUUAAAUAGCCGCAGUACCUUGACUGUGCUAAGGUAGCAUAAUAAAUUGUCUUAUAAUUGAAGUCUGGAAUGAAUGGAAUUUUGGAAUAAAUUCUAUCUAAUUUAAAUUAAAUUUAACUUUUUUAAUAAGUGAAAAUACUUAUAUAUUUAUGAAAGACGAGAAGACCCUAGAAAUUUUUAUUAAUUAUAAUAGUUUAUAUAAUAAUUAUAAUUAUUUUUGUUGGGGCGACAGAAUUACAAAAUUAACUUAUUUAUAUAUAUAAAUAUAUGAAGAAUAUUUUAAGUAAAGGUAAAUUACUCUAGGGAUAACAGCAUAAUUUAUUAAUAAGUUUGUGACCUCGAUGUUGGAUUAAGAUAUAUAGUUACUAAAAGUAAUUAUUAUUGGUUCUGUUCGAACUUAAUUUCUUACAUG